GAGGCUUUAGCUUAAUUAAAGUGUCUGGGUUGCAUUCAGAAGAUAUGGGAUAAAGUCCUGUAAGUCUUA
Lepisosteus oculatus (spotted gar) is the source of this 69-nucleotide non-coding RNA. Lineage: Eukaryota; Metazoa; Chordata; Actinopteri; Semionotiformes; Lepisosteidae. The record is from Ensembl.